AACGCUAGCUACAGGCUUAACACAUGCAAGUCGAGGGGCAGCAUGAACUUAGCUUGCUAAGUUUGAUGGCGACCGGCGCACGGGUGAGUAACACGUAUCCAACCUGCCGAUGACUCGGGGAUAGCCUUUCGAAAGAAAGAUUAAUACCCGAUGGCAUAGUUCUUCCGCAUGGUAGAACUAUUAAAGAAUUUCGGUCAUCGAUGGGGAUGCGUUCCAUUAGGUUGUUGGCGGGGUAACGGCCCACCAAGCCUUCGAUGGAUAGGGGUUCUGAGAGGAAGGUCCCCCACAUUGGAACUGAGACACGGUCCAAACUCCUACGGGAGGCAGCAGUGAGGAAUAUUGGUCAAUGGACGAGAGUCUGAACCAGCCAAGUAGCGUGAAGGAUGAAGGCUCUAUGGGUCGUAAACUUCUUUUAUAUGGGAAUAAAGUUUUCCACGUGUGGAAUUUUGUAUGUACCAUAUGAAUAAGGAUCGGCUAACUCCGUGCCAGCAGCCGCGGUAAUACGGAGGAUCCGAGCGUUAUCCGGAUUUAUUGGGUUUAAAGGGAGCGUAGAUGGAUGUUUAAGUCAGUUGUGAAAGUUUGCGGCUCAACCGUAAAAUUGCAGUUGAUACUGGAUAUCUUGAGUGCAGUUGAGGCAGGCGGAAUUCGUGGUGUAGCGGUGAAAUGCUUAGAUAUCACGAAGAACUCCGAUUG
Molecule: ribosomal RNA, 693 nt
Filed under: uncultured Bacteroidales bacterium
Lineage: Bacteria; Pseudomonadati; Bacteroidota; Bacteroidia; Bacteroidales
Description: bacterial SSU rRNA
Rfam family: Bacterial small subunit ribosomal RNA
Source: RNAcentral